ACUCCUACGGAGGCAGCAGUGGGGAAUAUUGCACAAUGGGCGCAAGCCUGAUGCAGCCAUGCCGCGUGUAUAAGAAGGCAGCUUCGGGUUGUAAAGUACUUUCAGCAGUGAGGAAGGUGGGUGUGUUAAUAGCAUACUCAUUUGACGUUAGCUGCAGAAGAAGCACCGGCUAACUCCGUGCCAGCAGCCGCGGUAAUACGGAGGGUGCGAGCGUUAAUCGGAAUUACUGGGCGUAAAGCGCAUGCAGGUGGUUUGUUAAGUCAGAUGUGAAAGCCCGGGGCUCAAGCCUC
Molecule: ribosomal RNA, 290 nt
Filed under: uncultured bacterium
Lineage: Bacteria
Description: partial 16S ribosomal RNA
Rfam family: Bacterial small subunit ribosomal RNA
Source: RNAcentral